Molecule: long non-coding RNA, 3161 nt
Organism: Sarcophilus harrisii (Tasmanian devil)
Lineage: Eukaryota; Metazoa; Chordata; Mammalia; Dasyuromorphia; Dasyuridae
Exons: 2
Source: RefSeq, a predicted model, not a curated record
GACCGGCUCCGGCUCCAGGCCCGGGGCGCUGACCCCCGACACCGCGCCCCCCCCCCCUUCCUGCUUCCACCCUCCGGACAGUAAAUGAUGGGGGAUGCAAUGGUCACAUCAAAGGGUUAGAAAAAGUCCUUGGUUUCUGAGGAGGGGCUGGACGGGCGUGGGGAGGAAAUUGAGUCCUGGGGAGGGGUCCCACAGGUAGAGUUAGAUUUCAUAGCCAGCCCCCUCCCAAGGAGGCAGAUUAAUCAAUCAUUUAAUUAAUUAUUAAUUAAUUUCGUUAUUUAUCCUUUAAUUAUUUGUUCGUAAUGGUUGUAGAAUUAACUCAUUGAUGGGUUGCUUAAUUACUAAAUUAAAGGCUGAUUGGAGGCUGGCAGUCAGGGGAAGGGGAGGAUUUGGGGGAGGACGAUUGGUGUGAUGGGAAUGAGGUUCCUCCCCCUCCCCCUGCCGCUGAGAGGCAGGAAUGCUCCUGUGGGAAUGGGGGAAGGGGCAGACUGAGCUGCCGGCCCCUGGCUGCCCACAGGACACAGCCAAAUUCCUCACCUCCUCCUGCUUCUGGGUGUGUCCUGCCCCCCACUGUCCCUCACCGUGGAGCACCCCUUGUUGUUCCCCCUCUGGCAGGGUGCCCACCCACCAUGGGAAGGGGAAGGCUUGCCUAUGGCCUCCUCCUAUCCUGAGAGAGCUCCUGCUUCAGUAUCCCCAAAGGCUCAGCCAAGCCUAGCUUGGGUCCACUCUGACCGUUAUCUGGGUAUCUAAAGCAGACCAGAAGGUCCAGGUUCAGGAGCCCCACUCUCCCCAAAGGCCCAGCCCAUCCCUACCCCAACUUGGGGUCCACUGUGACCACUGCCUAAGGCAGACCAGAAGGCCCAGAGUUCAGGAGCCUCGGCUGCCCACAGGGUCUCUGGGCAAAUUUCCUUCCUUCCUUGCCCCCGACUCCCUCCCUAUAUUCUGCUUUUGCCCCCCUGCAGGCAGCAUCUGCCCCACAUAGUAGCCCUUGAUAAAUGCUCAUUGACUGACUGACAGACAGACUCUUGGUUCUGCCCAGCCAAGAGUGCCCCAGUCACCCUCUCCCUGCACAUACCCCCCCUUGCCCCUCAGUGCAAGAAGGCUGUUGGACAAGCUGGCAACCCGAGAACUGCAGGCUUGUCACGCUUUGCUAAGGGCUGGCAUUCAGACGGAGGGUUUUGGUCUGAGCCCCAGCCUGGCACAGUGAAGAGGUUGAUCUGAGUUCAGAUUCAGUUCUUGGUCUGCCUUAGUUUCUACAACUAUAAAACGGGGAGAAUCACCUGCUUCCCAGGGUUGUUGUGAGGUGCCGAUAAGAUCAUUGUAAAGAUGUUAGAAAGCCAUAUGAACACAUUUUGUUCGGUCCUGACUCUUCGUGAUUCCAUCUGGGAUUUUAUUGGCAAAGCUACAGGAAUGGUUUUCCAUUUUCUGCUCCUGAGGCAAGUGGGCCGAGUGAUUUGCCCAGGGUCUCGCAGCUAGAAAGGGUCAGAUCUGAACUCAUGUAGCUGUUAUAGAUCAUUUCUGCACCAAAACAGGAAGCGAUGGUCUCCCGGAGGUGGGAAGGAGAGGUUUUGAGGGGUGUUAAUGAGCUGACAGACAAGUGGUGCUGGUGGGGAGGCCCUGGAGGACCGGGCCCUCUCCUUCCACUUGGAUUUCCCUUCUGUCCCUGCCUGACUGUUUCAGCCACAGUCCAGCAGGGACCCUCUCCAUGGUACGAUGCUUUUUCCCCAACAGUCUUGGGUGUUUGGACUCGGGAUAAAGGUCUCUUCUUCCCUGCCUCUGAAUUCCCUGGGUUAUCUCUUCUUGGAAGGAUCCAUCUGACCUCCAUGGUCCACUAUAAGCAAGGCACUGGUCGGCUCUGUGGCAGAGCUGCUGUGGGCCGAACCCAUGGGGUCCAGUUUCUAGGGACAGCUGUUCCCUAUCCACACCAAUGGCUGGCAAGAGGCCCCCUCUGGCCCAGGCCGACCUUCAGGCCAGGUGCCACCUGCUUUGGCCCCUCCCUCACCCCACCUGAGUUUGCUAGUGCUGGGGGGAGUUUCCCUGCCUCUUUCCCCCGAUUCGCUUCUGUCCAGUGCUCUUAGGGAUAGUGCUUGGUCAGCGUCCCAUCUUGGCCCGAAGGAAAGAUCGGAACACUAGUGUGCCAUUUCCAAAGGUCACUGGUCCUUGAUCCCUGGUCCAAAAGGGGAGAGGGGAAAUCAAUGAUUUUGUAACCGUGAGAAUCAUGGAUUUGCGCCAGGGGCAGAGUGGGCAGGGAGCUGAGCCCUGGUAGCAAGAAUCAGAUUCGGGCAUUGGAACUUAGAAGCUGUGUGACCCUAGGCAAGUCAACUUGUCCUAUCUGUAAAAUGGAACUCCCCCUUAGUCCUGUCUCGGGGGGUCCAGGGAUCAGCAGCAGAAGGCAAAUCUGGCUGGUUCCACUGAGCAGAGAAGGCAGCAAGCAGGGCCUGGUGGGGGGCUCCGAGUUGGCCGUCUGAGGGACGACGUCAGCCGCAGUGGCUCCCGGAGGUCACUUGCCAGUUACAGAAACUGAUUGGUGAUAGCGAAAGGGAUGGUCACUUACUGAAGUCCUAGCCCCUUGGAGCCUUGGACCGUGGGAUGCUCUGCCUAGGAUUGGGAGGAAUCUCAAAACAAGGGUAAGGGGAGGCCAUCUGAUGAGGGCCACGUAAAAUCCGAGGAGGCUCCAGGAGGCUGGCUGAGUCUGCUCACCUGGGAAGGCAGGAUGGGUGGCUCUCAGCUUUCUUCUCUGGCAGACUAGGAAUGGGAUCUUCUACGCCCUAUUCCCCUCCUGCACAGUGCCCAAAGUCCCUUAAUGAAUCAGCUGCUGAGCUAGAAAGCUCUCUCCUCUUUCCUGAUCUCUACCAUCUGGAUCGUCAUGAGCUGGCAAAGUAAACGUUCCUGACCUCUAUCCCAUACUGCUCCUGCCUCCUCCCCAUGAUCUGUGGGAGCAUCCUCAGGCCUGGACUCUUUGGACUUCUCCCUCACCUCCUUUAAAAGAACUUAAGAUCCAGUCUGGGAAGAAGAUCAUUCAAAGAACAGAAAGGCUUGCCCAAAGCCACGCAAGUCCCAUAAUAUACCUCAGCUGCAAUUUUCUUUUUAUAAAAUGGGGCCAUGUUAAUAGCUUAUCUCACAAUGUUAUUGUAAAGAUCAAAUUAAAUUAAAUUAUGAGA